Molecule: transfer RNA, 71 nt
Rfam family: tRNA
About the family: Transfer RNA (tRNA) molecules are approximately 80 nucleotides in length. Their secondary structure includes four short double-helical elements and three loops (D, anti-codon, and T loops).
GCAUUAAUGGGGUAGUGGUAACCUGGGUCGUUGCCAUCGACCCGCUGGGGGUUCGAUUCCCCCUUAAUGCA